Molecule: ribosomal RNA, 429 nt
Filed under: Triticum aestivum (bread wheat)
Lineage: Eukaryota; Viridiplantae; Streptophyta; Magnoliopsida; Poales; Poaceae
Description: partial small subunit ribosomal RNA
Source: RNAcentral
AUGGCUCCCAAGGCGGAGAAGAAGCCGGCUGCCGCUGAGAAGACCCCGGCGGCGGAGAAGACCACGGCGGGGAAGAAGCCCAAGGCCGAGAAGCGGCCGCCCAAGUCCAAGGAGGGCGGCGCCGACAAAAAGAAGAAGAAGGCCAAGAAGAGCGUGGAGACGUACAAGAUCUACAUCUUCAAGGUGCUGAAGCAGGUGCACCCGGACAUCGGCAUCUCCUCCAAGGCCAUGUCCAUCAUGAACUCCUUCAUCAACGACAUCUUCGAGAAGCUGGCCGGCGAGUCGGCCAAGCUCGCCCGCUACAACAAGAAGCCCACCAUCACGUCCCGGGAGAUCCAGACCUCCGUCCGCCUCGUCCUCCCCGGGGAGCUCGCCAAGCACGCCGUCUCCGAGGGCACCAAGGCCGUCACCAAGUUCACCUCCUCUUAG